CAGAUGAUUUUCUUUCCUCCUUUUCUUCAUCCAUUGUUCCCAUCCACAAACCCUAAAACUCAUCUAAUGUGGCGAUAUCAUCUUACAAUCCGAUUCGGUGCCUAUCAAAAGCUUUUCCUUUCAUAUAUACUCCAUCUGCGAUCCAUCUCUAUCUGCGAUUCAUCUCCAUCGACGAUUCAUCUCAUACCGCUUCAGAUAGUUAAUAGAUUUUGUGGAUUCUGUAGACUGAUUUAGGUAAAAGUUAAUGAUGGCUGGAUUGCUGUUGGCCGAGAACCCUGAUGAUGGUGCCUAGGGUUGCAAUCAACUUUCGCAAGUUUCUGACGGAUUUAGGUAAAGGUCGAUAAUGGCUGGAUUGGUGUUGGCCAAGAACCCAGAUGAUGGCGGCUAGGGUUCUGAUUUAUUAGCAGCAGCGGCAGAUGUUCUUCUUAAUUCGGCCGGCGGCUGUUAGGGUUCAGGAACUUGCCUGUAUAAGCACAUCCAAACACUCAAAACAGGCAUCAUAAUUAUUAGGAUAGUCGCAACAACGAGAAGUGGAUGUGUAUAUCUCCAGUGAACAAGAAGAAGAGGAUGUGCUUCUCUUCAAUAUAGUUCAACGGCAAUAGAAGUAAGAAGAAUAAGAGGCCGGCAUCUUCAACGUAUAAGAAGAGAAAGGGGAGAUUCAUUGUUGAGUUAAAGGACAUGAGGAAGGUUAGUAGUAACGAUGAGGUAUAUGUAUAGCUUCUCUUCCUGAUUCAGCAUGUUAUUGCGUACGGUAAAGUGGUUAUGUGGUUGUUUGAAUGCUUAAGUCACGUUGGUUUGAUCCAUGGCUGCAAAAACAUAUAUUAAGUUAAGGCGACAUGCUUGAGUGGUUCAUGGCUGCAAAUAGAUAUCAUAAACAAGGCGGAAUGCUUAAGUGGUUCGGGGCUGAAUCAUGUGUACAAACCGUGAGUUCGAAAAGUAGUCUUAGGGAAUAUCAAAGGUGAGUUUUAUACGCCCCCAUUAUGGUACUUUAAUGGGUUUUGAGGCUGUUCACAUACUCUUCUGAUAAAUGUUUUUACAAAAUUGAUUUUAUAAGGUUGUGAUGAUUAUUAAACUAAAACAUGACUUUUAAUGAAGUUUGGGGCUGCUGUGAUUAAAAUUUUUAGAAACAAGUUUAGAUGUAUAACUAAAUGUGAUAUAAGUUAGAAGAUCGUUUUAGUGUACUAUCAAGGUUAAUUACAAUUAUUGGUUGUACAGAUAGAUUUGUUGUCGGAGUUUUAGGAUUUACUUUUGAGUUUUUGUUUUGUUUGAGUUUACACCAGGUAUAUGGGCUUUUAAGGAGAAAUCAAAUCUAAGGAUUAUCAUCGAACAUCUUUUGAAACCAUCAGGUUUGUGUCUAUAUGGAACUUUUAAGUAGUAUGGUCUAUAUUUUCAUCGAAACCAUCAAGUUUGUGUCUAUAUGUAACUUUUAAGAUUUCAUUAGUUUUAUUUCCUAACUUUUAAGUGGUUUGUGAUUUGGACCAAAUUGGGCGAUUGAUAAGGUUAGUGAGAAGAAGGGGUAUAUGUUGCCUAGGGCGAAGAUGGAGAGUGCGGAUUUGGCGAGGGUUAUUAAUUUGGGAUGAGGUACAAUCAGUGGUGAAGUCGAUUACGAUGUAGGUGAAGAGGGCACCGAUGAAGAACAAUUUGUUGAAAAAUUUAAUACUAUGUUAAGGUUGAAUUUGUAUCCAUUAGUGUCAUAUCCACCACCGGUCUAUGCCGCCCCAUACCCGCCAGUUGGAGGCUGCCCUGCACUGACUUUCUACCCUUCAUACCUGUCUAAAUCAGGUGGUUAUCCACCAGCUCCAUACCCUCUUCUGGCUGCUCCUUAUGGUCAGCCCUAUCCACCUAAUUUAGCUUAUCCUUCCCAACCAUAUGGUUCCGAGUAUCCCCCAAAUUGGGAACAUGCGCGUCAUACCACAGAAGUUAGGAUUCAAUAACAUACAGUCCAUGAUGAAGUAUGAUUACAAUAAAAAUCAUGACCAUAUGGUUCCCAAUAUCCCUCUCCUGGUAAGUCUUUAAUCAUGUCUCAGACUUUUGUUUUUUCUAUUAAAAAUGAUUAAUGACUUAAAAUGGUGCAUGAUGACUGUCACCAUAUUGUUUAUAGUCAUUUAUGUAUAGAUUUACAUAUGUUUAUUUGUGUAUAUAAUAAAAAUAUAUAUUGUUUAUGCUAAAAAACUAAUACGUGACUGAUAAUUCAAAUAUCACAUAAAUAUGUGCAAGACCGUUUUACUUCAUUGGCCCUUUGAGGAAGUCGACCCGUUGAAGAAACAGAUAGAAAGACCAGGACCGUUUUACUUCAUUGGCCCGACCCGUUAAUGAAACGGAUAGAAAGGCUAGGACCGUUUUACUUCAUUGGCCCUUUGAGGAAGUCGAGAGUUUGAGAUACAAUAACGUCAGGAGUUUGAAGAGUUCGAGCUAGAUCUUGAUUCGAUUGAUCCACUCAACAUACGAACAACCACACAGGUUUUAUACUUUAAUUAUAAUUUGUUGUAUAACGUAACAUGCUAUAUAAACCAGGUAACUAUAAACUUUAAUAAUUCCAAUAA
Molecule: long non-coding RNA, 2543 nt
Organism: Helianthus annuus (common sunflower)
Lineage: Eukaryota; Viridiplantae; Streptophyta; Magnoliopsida; Asterales; Asteraceae
Exons: 5
Source: RefSeq, a predicted model, not a curated record